Molecule: long non-coding RNA, 914 nt
Filed under: Brassica rapa (field mustard)
Lineage: Eukaryota; Viridiplantae; Streptophyta; Magnoliopsida; Brassicales; Brassicaceae
Description: long non-coding RNA (BRAP_LNC008158)
Source: RNAcentral
GUAUGUUAAGGCUUUGGGAGAGUCUUAAGGCUUCAGAAGUGGUCUGAUGAGUGUGCAAAGAUAGGGUUAAGUCCAGGAGGGAUUUAGACACCAUUUAGAGAAGAUUUGGGUCAGACAGUAACUCCAAAGUUACCACAGUAACUUUGGAGAGUUAUCAUAGUAAGAUUGGAGAAGUUUGGGCAAGUUGGUGUAAAAGUGAAUAGUGAAUCACUAGUCACUAUUCAAGUUGACUAUCCACUAUUUGGGUCACUAUUCAGGAUGUGAAGAGUGUGCAUAGUAUAUGGAUAAGGCACCAAGGUUUGAAUCUAGUCAAAGGGAAUCAAGAAGAUGCUUUGUGGAGGCAAACAACCAAUGGGAGCUUCCUUGUGUGUGAUUGGCUAGUUCUGGUCUUGGACAGGCUGUCUCUUGCUGUAAAGAGAAGGGAGCCACGACCAUGAACCUGGACAGAUGCAUGGGAAGAUUAGGAGGAGCCUAAGGAGAGCCAAUCACAAGCAAGGAGCCAGCUUGCCUUGGUUUGAAUUAAAGUGAGCCAGCUUAGCUUAUCCAAUCAGCACACAUCACUCAGAUUACAACAAGACCAACUCAUCCUCACCAUCCAUUCCUCUUGAGUUAUUUCUAUCCAUUAGAUAUAGGUUUAUGAGUUUGCAAGAGUGUAAAACCUGUAUAAAGACCCUCAUGGGCGUUUGUAACUCUCUUAAGAGAGAAUGGGGGUUUUCCCAUCUCCUUCAUAAUUAUAAAAGUGUGUUCUUGAUCAGAUUCCCUUAAUCUACCCCUUUCUUAGUCUCUAAUCUCUUAAUCUCUCAAAGUCUCUUUGUUUCUGAUUCAAGUUCAUACUAGUUUCAUCAGACCUCUUAUUCAACUAGUUCAAGACCUUAUCUUUGCCUUUAAUGGCUUUUCUUACACAUACACAGCCA